GGUUCAGGACGAACGCUGGCGGCGUGCUUAACACAUGCAAGUCGAACGGGAGUAUUGAAGAAGCUUGCUUAGAGAUACUUUAGUGGCGGACGGGUGAGUAACGCGUGAGGAGCUGUCCUAUGCAGGGGGACAACAGCUGGAAACGGCUGCUAAUACCCCAUAAGCCGAGAGGUAAAAGGAUCAAUCCGGCAGAGGAGGUACUCGCGUCCUAUCAGCUAGUAGGUGAGGUAACGGCUCACCUAGGCGAAGACGGGUAGCCGGCCUGAGAGGGCGAACGGCCACACUGGAACUGAGAUACGGUCCAGACUCCUACGGGAGGCAGCAGUGGGGAAUAUUGGGCAAUGGGGGAAACCCUGACCCAGCGACGCCGCGUGGGUGAAGGAAUCCUUCGGGAUGUAAAGCCCUGUUGUAUGGGAAGAGCGGAAGACGGUACCAUACGAGGAAGCCCCGGCAAACUACGUGCCAGCCGCCGC
RNAcentral lists this ribosomal RNA (473 nucleotides) under uncultured bacterium. RNAcentral describes it as "bacterial SSU rRNA". It matches the Rfam family "Bacterial small subunit ribosomal RNA", at positions 21 to 518 of the family's 1533-position model. The record is from RNAcentral.